Molecule: ribosomal RNA, 451 nt
Filed under: uncultured bacterium
Lineage: Bacteria
Description: bacterial SSU rRNA
Rfam family: Bacterial small subunit ribosomal RNA
Source: RNAcentral
AGCGAACGCUGGCGGCAGGCCUAACACAUGCAAGUCGAGCGCCCGUAGCAAUACGGGAGCGGCAGACGGGAUAGUAACACGUGGGAACGUACCCUUCAGUUCGGAACAACCCAGGGAAACUUGGGCUAAUACCGAAUACGUCCGUAAGGAGAAAGAUUUAUCGCUGAAGGAUCGGCCCGCGUCUGAUUAGCUAGUUGGUGAGGUAAUGGCUCACCAAGGCGACGAUCAGUAGCUGGUCUGAGAGGAUGAUCAGCAUCACUGGGACUGAGACACGGCCCAGACUCCUACGGGAGGCAGCAGUGGGGAAUAUUGGACAAUGGGCGCAAGCCUGAUCCAGCCAUGCCGCGUGGAUGAUGAAGGCCCUAGGGUUGUAAAGCUCUUUGUGCGGGAAGAUAAUGACGGUACCGCAAGAAUAAGCCCCGGCUAACUUCGUGCCAGCCGCCGCAGUAAC